This 529-nucleotide ribosomal RNA is filed under the name uncultured bacterium. RNAcentral's name for it is "bacterial SSU rRNA". It matches the Rfam family "Bacterial small subunit ribosomal RNA", at positions 777 to 1304 of the family's 1533-position model. The record is from RNAcentral.
AAUAGAUACCCUGGUAGUCCACGCCGUAAACGAUGAGUGCUAAGUGUUAGAGGGUUUCCGCCCUUUAGUGCUGCAGCAAACGCAUUAAGCACUCCGCCUGGGGAGUACGGUCGCAAGACUGAAACUCAAAGGAAUUGACGGGGGCCCGCACAAGCGGUGGAGCAUGUGGUUUAAUUCGAAGCAACGCGAAGAACCCUACCAGGUCUUGACAUCCUUCGCUACUUCUAGAGAUAGAAGGUUCCCCUUCGGGGGACGGAGUGACAGGUGGUGCAUGGUUGUCGUCAGCUCGUGUCGUGAGAUGUUGGGUUAAGUCCCGCAACGAGCGCAACCCUUGACCUUAGUUGCCAGCAUUCAGUUGGGCACUCUAAGGUGACUGCCGGUGACAAACCGGAGGAAGGUGGGGAUGACGUCAAAUCAUCAUGCCCCUUAUGACCUGGGCUACACACGUGCUACAAUGGAUGGUACAAAGGGCUGCAAGACUGCGAAGUCAAGCCAAUCCCAUAAAACCAUUCUCAGUUCGGAUUGCAGG